GACGAACGCUGGCGGCGGGCUUAACACAUGCAAGUCGAACGGAAAGGCCCUGCUUUUGUGGGGUGCUCGAGUGGCGAACGGGUGAGUAACACGUGAGUAACCUGCCCUUGACUUUGGGAUAACUUCAGGAAACUGGAGCUAAUACCGGAUAGGAGCUCCUGUUGCAUGGUGGGGGUUGGAAAGUCUCGGCGGUCGGGGAUGGACGCGCGGCUUAUCAGCUUGUUGGUGGGGUAGUGGCUUACCAAGGCUUUGACGGGUAGCCGGCCUGAGAGGGUGACCGGCCACAUUGGGACUGAGAUACGGCCCAGACUCCUACGGGAGGCAGCAGUGGGGAAUAUUGCACAAUGGGCGGAAGCCUGAUGCAGCAACGCCGCGUGCGGGAUGACGGCCUUCGGGUUGUAAACCGCUUUCGCCUGUGACGAAGCGUGAGUGACGGUAAUGGGUAAAGAAGCACCGGCUAACUACGUG
Molecule: ribosomal RNA, 468 nt
Filed under: uncultured bacterium
Lineage: Bacteria
Description: partial 16S ribosomal RNA
Rfam family: Bacterial small subunit ribosomal RNA
Source: RNAcentral